GAUGAACGCUGGCGGCGUGCCUAAUACAUGCAAGUCGAGCGAACAGACGAGGAGCUUGCUCCUCUGACGUUAGCGGCGGACGGGUGAGUAACACGUGGAUAACCUACCUAUAAGACUGGGAUAACUUCGGGAAACCGGAGCUAAUACCGGAUAAUAUAUUGUACCGCAUGGUUUAAUAGUGAAAGACGGUUUUGCUGUCACUUAUAGAUGGAUCCGCGCCGCAUUAGCUAGUUGGUAAGGUAACGGCUUACCAAGGCGACGAUGCGUAGCCGACCUGAGAGGGUGAUCGGCCACACUGGAACUGAGACACGGUCCAGACUCCUACGGGAGGCAGCAGUAGGGAAUCUUCCGCAAUGGGCGAAAGCCUGACGGAGCAACGCCGCGUGAGUGAUGAAGGUCUUCGGAUCGUAAAACUCUGUUAUUAGGGAAGAACAAAUGUGUAAGUAACUAUGCACGUCUUGACGGUACCUAAUCAGAAAGCCACGGCUAACUACGUG
This 497-nucleotide ribosomal RNA is filed under the name uncultured bacterium. Its description in RNAcentral is "partial 16S ribosomal RNA". It matches the Rfam family "Bacterial small subunit ribosomal RNA", at positions 28 to 507 of the family's 1533-position model. The record is from RNAcentral.